AAAACUUAAAACACGUACUUUUAACAAAUUGUUUUGUAAAAAAUUAUGCAUUCAAUAUAAGUAUAAAGCAGUUUUAGUACCUUUUGUAUAAGGGUUUGUCUAGACUUAAUUAAAAAUUUAAUAUGCCCGAAAAAAAGUGAGUUAUUCUUAUGAUCUAGAGGGUCGUGGCAUAGCCCCACUAAACUUUAGAAUAGCGGCUAGAUACUAUACGCACUUUUUGCUAUCUGGUUAACCUAGAAAUAUGUGAAAGCAUUUUUUUUGUUUUACAAAAAGUAAAAUUUUUUGGGUUAAGCUGAAAAAUAGGAAAACUGAAAAAAAUUCAUAGACCUGAUUGUUAUAGGCUUCAUAGUGGCCACUAAAUAGAAUUAUUUUUUAAUUAUAAUCAAAAAUAGCUUUGUAGAUUUAUUAUGGCUUUCAUUAAUUUAAAUAGGUUUAUUCUUGCAUGAGUAACAAUAAUGAUAAAAUGAGUAAAAAUGUUACCUCAAGAAAGCUUUUUAUUAAAACUAAAAAACUCAGUAAUCUUUUCUAAUGAACUCGGCAAACUUUUUUCCGACUGUUUAACAAAAACAUUUCCUUUAGAUAGAAAUUAAAGGUAAGCCCUGCCCAGUGUAGCCACAAGCUAUAAACGGCGGCGUUAACGUGAGCGUCCUAAGGUAGCGCGAUAAGUUGCCCUUUAAUUGAGGGAUGGUAUGAACGGGUUAACGAAAAAAAGCUGUCUCAGAAAAGAAAAUUUAAAUUAACUUUAAGGUGAGGAGGCCUUAAUAAAAAAGAAGGACAACAAGACCCUACGAAGCUUAUUCUUUGUAGUGCUGUAAUCUUUAAGCAUUAUUAGAAUUUGAUGGGAAAUCAACAAAAAAACGUCUUUUGUUUUCAACUUUUGCUAACAAGCAAGACCUAUGGUAAUAUAGAUGAUUAGCUACUCUAGGGAUAACAGCACAAUAUUUUCCAAAAGAUGUAAUUAAAGAAAAGGUUUGUGACCUCGAUGUUGGCUUUAGAUGUCCCAGAGGUGUAGAAGCUUCUAAAGGUAGGUCUGUUCGACCUUUAAUCUAACAUGAGCUGAGUUCAGAACGGCGUAAGCUAGUUCAGUUUAUACCCUCUUAUAUAAAAUAGAUUAGGCUUGUACGAAAGGACUGCCCCAUCAAAGUACUCUUUUAAAGUUUUACUUUCUUGCACAGUAAUUUAGUAAGAUUUUUCCUUAUGAUAAAGGGAAGC
This 1212-nucleotide ribosomal RNA is filed under the name Mytilus californianus (California mussel). RNAcentral's name for it is "16S ribosomal RNA". It matches the Rfam family "Bacterial large subunit ribosomal RNA", at positions 546 to 2778 of the family's 2925-position model. Lineage: Eukaryota; Metazoa; Mollusca; Bivalvia; Mytilida; Mytilidae. The record is from RNAcentral.